This is a long non-coding RNA of Dama dama (fallow deer), 551 nucleotides long. RefSeq lists it as uncharacterized. The record is from RefSeq and is a predicted model, not a curated record. The transcript is spliced from 2 exons. NCBI's taxonomy places the organism in Eukaryota, Metazoa, Chordata, Mammalia, Artiodactyla, Cervidae.
GUUACAGAUGUGCGCGGGGACCUCGCAGUCCGCGCGGCCGCCUGCAGCCGCGGGGGGAGGGAGAGCUCCGCGGGGCGCCCGCCGGCUUCUGCGCGAGCGACGACGCUGCUUUCCCCGGCCGACCCGUCUCCUCUGCGCCCCGCGGAGGGCUGCAGGGAGCAUCCUUUAUCCUUUGCAGCGUUUAUCCCUCGCCAGGAAGAGCCUUCCUCGUGCCUGGCCAUUCCCAGGCUGGAUUCUUCGGAGGCGGGCUUCUACACGCUCCUUAGAGGAUUCUGACUUCCAGUGUCGGACGAGCCUGGGCAGUACAGCAUCUCCUGACCGGGGAUCGAAAGUGCCCUGGUAGGUCCCCUCCACACCCGGCUUCUCGUCAAGAAGAGCUUACCCAGGCAUUCAGGCAUCAGGAUCAAUGAUGAACUUUGAAAAAGAAAAAAGAUGGAAAAAUCAUCGAAAUUAUCAUAAUCUGUGCUCCCAACUAAAUGAGUGUUUCCUUGUAGCAUGUGCAGAGUCAAGGGAAAUUAUAUUCCUGUAUUAUACAGUCUACCAACAACCUA